CACGCAGGCGGUCUGUUAAGUCAGAUGUGAAAUCCCCGGGCUUAACCUGGGAACUGCAUUUGAAACUGGCAGGCUUGAGUCUCGUAGAGGGGGGUAGAAUUCCAGGUGUAGCGGUGAAAUGCGUAGAGAUCUGGAGGAAUACCGGUGGCGAAGGCGGCCCCCUGGACGAAGACUGACGCUCAGGUGCGAAAGCGUGGGGAAGCAAACA
Molecule: ribosomal RNA, 208 nt
Filed under: uncultured bacterium
Lineage: Bacteria
Description: partial 16S ribosomal RNA
Rfam family: Bacterial small subunit ribosomal RNA
Source: RNAcentral